CGGGAUGCAGCAGUAAGGAAUAUUGGUCAAUGGACGCAAGUCUGAACCAGCUAUGCCGCGUGAAGGAUUAAGGUCCUCUGGAUUGUAAACUUCUUUUAUCUGGGACGAAAAAAGGCAUUUCUAGGCUUCUUGACGGUACCAGAUGAAUAAGCACCGGCUAACUCCGUGCCAGCAGCCGCGGUAAUACGGAGGGUGCAAGCGUUAUCCGGAUUCACUGGGUUUAAAGGGUGCGUAGGCGGGCAGGUAAGUCAGUGGUGAAAUCCUGGAGCUCAACUCCAGAACUGCCAUUGAUACUAUCUGUCUUGAAUAUUGUGGAGGUAAGCGGAAUAUGUCAUGUAGCGGUGAAAUGCUUAGAUAUGACAUAGAACACCCAUUGCGAAGGCAGCUUACUACGCAUAUAUUGACGCUGAGGCACGAAAGCGUGGGGAUCAAACAGGAUUAGAUACCCCCGU
This 452-nucleotide ribosomal RNA is filed under the name uncultured Sediminibacterium sp. Its description in RNAcentral is "bacterial SSU rRNA". It matches the Rfam family "Bacterial small subunit ribosomal RNA", at positions 342 to 791 of the family's 1533-position model. The record is from RNAcentral. Lineage: Bacteria; Pseudomonadati; Bacteroidota; Chitinophagia; Chitinophagales; Chitinophagaceae.